Molecule: unclassified non-coding RNA, 230 nt
Filed under: uncultured fungus
Lineage: Eukaryota; Fungi
Description: sequence contains ITS1, 5.8S rRNA gene
Rfam family: 5.8S ribosomal RNA (bases 182-230)
Source: RNAcentral
UCUCCGUAGGUGAACCUGCGGAGGGAUCAUUACUGAGUGAGGGCUUCGGUCCGACCUCCAACCCUUUGUGAACCAAACUUGUUGCUUCGGGGGCGACCCUGCCGGCACUCGGUCGCCGGGCGCCCCCGGAGGCUCACUAAACACUGCAUCUUUGCGUCGGAGUCUUAAUGAAUGUAAACAAAACUUUUAACAACGGAUCUCUUGGUUCUGGCAUCGAUGAAGAACGCAGC